GUCAAACUGUCAAAUCAAAAAAAAAUAUAAAUAUUACACAAUUUGUGCGAUAAUUUCUAAUUUAACUAUUAAAGUGCAUGUAAUUUAUUGUUUAAAAUGGCAACGAAAGAGAAUACUCCACCCCGCGACUGUCUGUCGUGCAGAAUCGUAGGGGGUGUCGGUUUGGUUGGGAUAGGAGGUUACCUGGCUAACAGUGCCUGCAAACAUAAAACAUUACCUGGAAAAUAUGGUCUAUCUGUGUUAUCUUUUGCAUUCAUCUGUUUGGGAGUAGCGAGGUACAAGCAAACAUUUCCAUUCAAUAAAAAUGCUGAAUUCAAGACAAGAGCAUGAUUGUGUACACAAGUACCAUUGUUAAUUUGUACCCUAAGUUCUACUGUGUAAGUUGUAAAAUACUGUAAAUUGAAAUCAAGUUUGUUACGUUAUAGUCAUAGAAUAAAUUAAAUCUUUGGUUAUGAAA
Spodoptera litura is the source of this 457-nucleotide long non-coding RNA. RefSeq lists it as uncharacterized. Lineage: Eukaryota; Metazoa; Arthropoda; Insecta; Lepidoptera; Noctuidae. The record is from RefSeq and is a predicted model, not a curated record.